Molecule: non-coding RNA, 342 nt
Organism: Pelobates cultripes (western spadefoot toad)
Lineage: Eukaryota; Metazoa; Chordata; Amphibia; Anura; Pelobatidae
Source: the annotation of a GenBank genome assembly
UGAUUAUCCAAGAAUGGUUAUUAAGACUGUCCUUUUAAUAAUCUUUUCACAAAGAUAUUGUUUUGAUUAUUUAGGAUAGGGGUAGGCAACCUUCAGCACACAAUGUUGUAUACUACAUCUCCCGUGAUGCAUUGUCAGCAUUAUUUAAGUAAGGGCAUUAUGGGAGAUGUUGCCUACAUCUGAUCUAGGAUAUCCCAGUUGUUACGGCGUGCACAGAGCACCCAUUUAGUAAGAGCAGGCACCUACCUUCUGGUGGCAGAGCUCUAUGGCAAGUGCCUACUCUUCAGAUUUAGACCUUGGACACAGCGCAGGUGCCAGCGCAGCUGCUGAGGUCGGUAUGCA